GCCGCAGCCAUGGAGGGAGGCGGCGGCGGCGGCGGUGGCGGCUCGGGCGGCUGCGCCGGGAGGCGGCGGUGAGCGGCUCCCACGCCCCUGGCCCGGGCACGGCCCCCCGGGACGGAGCGCCGAGCAGCCCCGGCUCCGGGCUACGGACUAUGGGCGAGCAGCGCUGAGCACCGGGGGAAGAGCUGAGGAUGAAGCGAAGAGCAUCAGACAGAGGAGCUGGGGAAACGUCGGCCAGGGCGAAGGCUCUAGGAAGUGGGAUUUCUGGAAAUAAUGCCAAGAGAGCUGGACCGUUCAUCCUGGGUCCCCGUCUGGGCAACUCACCAGUGCCAAGCAUCGUGCAGUGUUUGGCGAGGAAAGACGGCACGGAUGACUUCUAUCAGCUGAAGAUCCUUACCCUCGAGGAGAGGGGCGACCAAGGAAUAGAAAGCCAAGAGGAGAGGCAAGGCAAGAUGCUGUUACACACCGAGUACUCCCUGCUCUCCCUCCUCCACACGCAGGAUGGGGUGGUUCACCACCACGGGCUCUUCCAGGACCGCACCUGUGAAAUUGUUGAGGACGCAGAAUCCAACCGAAUGGUUAAGAAGAUGAAGAAGCGCAUCUGUCUCGUCCUUGACUGCCUCUGCGCACAUGACUUCAGUGACAAGACCGCCGACCUGAUCAACCUGCAGCACUACGUCAUCAAGGAGAAGAGGCUCAGCGAGCGGGAGACCGUGGUCAUCUUCUACGACGUGGUGCGUGUGGUGGAGGCCCUGCACCAGAAAAACAUCGUGCACAGAGACCUGAAGCUUGGGAACAUGGUGCUCAACAAGAGGACGCAUCGGAUAACCAUCGCCAACUUCUGCCUGGGGAAGCACCUCGUGAGCCAGGGGGACCUGCUGAAGGACCAGCGGGGGAGCCCCGCCUACAUCAGCCCGGACGUGCUCAGCGGCCGGCCGUACCGGGGCAAGCCGAGCGACAUGUGGGCUCUGGGCGUGGUGCUCUUCACCAUGCUCUACGGCCAGUUCCCCUUCUAUGACAGCAUCCCACAGGAGCUCUUCCGCAAGAUCAAGGCUGCUGAAUACACCAUCCCCGAGGACGGGCGGGUUUCUGAGAACACCGUGUGUCUCAUCCGGAAACUGCUGGUCCUCGACCCCCAGCAGCGCCUGGCCGCUGCCGAUGUCCUGGAGACCCUCAGUGCCAUCAUCGCAUCAUGGCAGUCCCUGUCCUCUCUCAGCGGGCCUUUGCAGGUGGUUCCUGAUAUCGACGACCAAAUGAGCAACUCAGACAGCUCCCAGGAGGCGAAGGUGACGGAGGAGUGCUCCCAGUACGAGUUUGAGACCUACAUGCGGCAGCAGCUGAUGCUGGCCGAGGAGAAGAGCUCCGUGCACGAGGCCCGCAGCUGGGUGCCCAAGCGGCAGCUGGGCAGCGCGCCGCCCGUGCGCCGGCUGGGCCACGACGCACAGCCCAUGAACCCUUUGGACGCAGCCAUCCUGGCGCAGCGCUACCUGCGGAAAUAGCCUCGGGCAGGGGCACCGGCACCACCCGCCGCCUCUUCCCGGCCCCCAGCCAACGGCCCCGGCUGCCGGCUGGGCCCCGUAGUGCUGAACUCUCUCCAAGGCCACACCGGGGACGGGGCAGGGACAGCCCAGGUCACACAUGGGGUCAGCAGAGGUGGCUCGGCCCACGGCCACUCCCUGCCCCCAGCCUGGCUGGACAGCAGGGAGUCCACAGCCCCCGAUGGGCCCCCUCCUCGUGCCCAGGCUCAGAAGCCCCUUCUUGCCGGCCCCUCUCCACCUCCAGCCCACCAGUCCUUCCUUGUUUCUGGUGAUGGGGAGGCCUUUCUACACUUGGUUCUCUUCCUCCCAUCUCAGCUUCUCUGAGGUGCUGUACCCCCGCAUUAGCCCCCAUUUCCUCCUCCCCCUCACCGUGGUACCAAGGUGACACUGACACGGAUGGGCAGGGUGCCUGGUGGGCGGCUGGGAGGGGUGCUCUGGGCCGCUGUGAACAGGCAGCCCUGCUUGCAUGCCCCCACGCUCCCCUCACCCCUCUGUGUUCAGAGAACGGUGGGAGCAUCUCCCCUCCUGCCCCUGCCUCAUCAUAGAGGUGGGUGUCUCUCCCAGCAGACCACCAGGGUCACCAGGGUCCUUCCUGGGGGCUGCAGGGCUUGUGGGGAGAAUUAUAGGGACUGGGGGGCCCAGCCUGGCUUGAGAACAGCCCUGCUGCCCUUUUGAGCCGAGAUUUUGAAGUGGAUGCCCGUCUUGCCAGAAACUGUUCUCACCAGAAUGCCCUCCUUCCCACUCUCCCGCAUUGGACUUGGCCCUGCCCGGUGCCGAGCAAAGACCUUCCCCUGGCCUACCCCCCAGGCCCCUCCGAGCAGCCAAGUGUACCCCUCCAGGCAGCCCAGGCCCUCGGGCCCUUCCUGCCUGCCCUUACUCCCCAGUGGGGAGGCGACCGAGGCCUGCGUGACCUUGUUUCCCAGAGUGUGAGCUGCCUCUCCCCAAGAACUGACUCACUGUGAGUGAAUUGGGCAAGGUCCCAAACCUCCUUGUGCCUCAGUUUCCCCAUCUGGAAAAAAUGGGGCCACCUCUUGCCAGCAGUAGCAGGGCUGCCCACGCCCCUUCCUCCCUAUGCCCCAUCCCGGCACCUGGGCGCCGCGUGCCUCUGCCUCAGCGGGUCCGUGGGAGCCCUCCUGAGCCCAGCACUUACUCCCCAGAGCACCAGGCUUGGCCUCCCUCAGCCGUCCAGCUGCUGAGAGCCAGGCUCUUGUGCUGGGGGGGCGGGAUGCCCUCUUUUCUGUAUUUAUUUCAAAAAGAAGUCUCCUAAAGGAGUAGAAAUAUAGUCCGGCCCAGGGCUCCCAGCCCCUGUGACUGUCCACCUGUGAGGGCCUCACCCGAGCCCCUUGUGCAGCAGCCUGCCCAGAUCCUCUGGGCCUGAUUGCCUGGUGGUCUUUCUCCUCCUUUUCAAAGCAAUACCCUCCAGGUCUGCAAAGCCUGUCAGACAGACUGGUCCCUUCCAAGGUCAACCCACCGUGUGUCUGAUUAAUUUCUGGCAAAGCGAAUGAGAGGAGGUUGGGUCUGCCCUCACUGGGUGUCACACGCUGAAAGAAGUCCUAUUGUAAAAAAACAAAACGGAAAAAGUCACAAAAAAGUUUGUAUAAAGUCAUAUUUUUGUACUACAUGGGGACUUUUCCUGCAUGUCAGCAAUAAAACUUCCUGAUCUGGAGGCAGCGUGGUCUGUAUCGU
Molecule: RNA transcript, 3221 nt
Organism: Hippopotamus amphibius kiboko
Lineage: Eukaryota; Metazoa; Chordata; Mammalia; Artiodactyla; Hippopotamidae
Gene: STK40
Gene name: serine/threonine kinase 40
Exons: 12
Source: RefSeq, a predicted model, not a curated record